AAUAUUGCACAAUGGGCGAAAGCCUGAUGCAGCAACGCCGCGUGAGCGAUGAAGGCCUUCGGGUCGUAAAGCUCUGUCCUCAAGGAAGAUAAUGACGGUACUUGAGGAGGAAGCCCCGGCUAACUACGUGCCAGCAGCCGCGGUAAUACGUAGGGGGCUAGCGUUAUCCGGAAUUACUGGGCGUAAAGGGUGCGUAGGUGGUUUCUUAAGUCAGAGGUGAAAGGCUACGGCUCAACCGUAGUAAGCCUUUGAAACUGAGAAACUUGAGUGCAGGAGAGGAGAGUAGAAUUCCUAGUGUAGCGGUGAAAUGCGUAGAUAUUAGGAGGAAUACCAGUUGCGAAGGCGGCUCUCUGGACUGUAACUGACACUGAGGCACGAAAGCGUGGGGAGCAAACAGG
This 398-nucleotide ribosomal RNA is filed under the name uncultured bacterium. RNAcentral describes it as "partial 16S ribosomal RNA". It matches the Rfam family "Bacterial small subunit ribosomal RNA", at positions 360 to 776 of the family's 1533-position model. The record is from RNAcentral.